Molecule: non-coding RNA, 69 nt
Filed under: uncultured Roseovarius sp.
Lineage: Bacteria; Pseudomonadati; Pseudomonadota; Alphaproteobacteria; Rhodobacterales; Roseobacteraceae
Description: Glycine riboswitch
Rfam family: Glycine riboswitch aptamer
About the family: This family represents the bacterial glycine riboswitch. Glycine riboswitches usually consist of two metabolite-binding aptamers domains with similar structures in tandem.
Source: RNAcentral
ACGGGAGAAUCGGCUUUGCCGGUGCCGAAGGAGCAACCGCCCCGGAAACUCUCAGGCGCAAGGACCGUC